RNAcentral lists this small RNA (688 nucleotides) under Pan troglodytes (chimpanzee). RNAcentral describes it as "processed transcript". The record is from RNAcentral. Lineage: Eukaryota; Metazoa; Chordata; Mammalia; Primates; Hominidae.
AAAAAGAGGAGAAGUGGGAGUAAACAGAAAGAUAAUGCUUAUGGUACAUACAAAACAAAUGGAGAGAUUGAGUCUCACGGAUUCUUCGCCUGAGCCACCAGCAAAGGUGAUGCCAUGCUGCUAUGAAUGGGCAGAAAAAGCCUGACUGAACUAGUGACUUUUCAGUGAAGAUGUGAAUGUGGAGUGUGCAUCAAGAGCCAUCCAAGUCAAAAUCUAGGAAAAGAAAAUUCCUAGAUGGAGAGAAAGGAGCUUUUGCAAAGGUUCCAUGGAGGGAGAAGUCUUGGUUAUCUGAGAAAAAGUGAUAUGGAAUAGCAGCCCAUCUUCUUCCCUGAAACACAGGGGUUCUACAAACACAGAACAAGCUAGAAAGCAUUUGACUCCCUGUUAUACCAGUCACAGCCUAUUCUCCACCAACAAAUAUAGGAUAAGAGGGGUUCCUGCUUGACACGGUCAUUGAAAUAAUUGCCUAUGAUGAUACCAUCACAUGAGUCCUAUCAAUGAUUUAGUUCCCUAGAGAAAAUCAGAAAGUAAAAGUGAGAAGAAAAGAAGAGAAAUAUGUUACAAGCUUUAACUGGACUUCAAUUUCAGCUGAAAGAACAAUUAGGAGAAAAGGAGAGAAGACUUCAAAUCAGCCAGGAAAUCAGUGCCCAUAGAACAGAGUUCCACAUGCAGUUUUCAUACAAACCAG